Molecule: long non-coding RNA, 1148 nt
Organism: Oncorhynchus keta (chum salmon)
Lineage: Eukaryota; Metazoa; Chordata; Actinopteri; Salmoniformes; Salmonidae
Exons: 4
Source: RefSeq, a predicted model, not a curated record
ACUGGGGCAGGCCGGUCUAACACAGGGAAUCGGGUGCCAGGUAGCCUAGCGGUUAGGCCAGUAAGCGAAAGGUCGCUGGUUCGAAUCCCCAAGCCAACUAGGUGUAAAAAUCUGUCGGUGCCCUUGAGCAAGUCACUUAACCCUAAUUGCUCUUGUAAGUCUCUCUGGAUAAGAGAAUCAGUUAAAUGACUCCCUACUGUAAGUCUCUCUGGAUAAGAUAAUCAGCUAAAUGACUCUCUACUGUAAGUCUCUCUGGAUAAGAGAAUCAGCUAAAUGACUCCCUACUGUAAGUCUCUCUGGAUAAGAGAAUCAGUUAAAUGACUCCCUACUGUAAGUCUCUCUGGAUAAGAGCGUCUGUUAAAUGACUCACUACUGUAAGUCUCUCUGGAUAAGUGAGUCUGUUAAAUGACUCACUACUGUAAGUCUCUCUGGUUAAGAGCGUCUGUUAAAUGACUCAAAUGUUUGUAAAAUGUACAUUUGAGGAGCAGAGCAGGAAGUACAGAGUGACCAGUGAUUUCCCCUGUCUAGGACACACACACCCCAACCACACUUACUGCUCUGUUAGUAGGUGCAGCAGGCGGUAGACACUAGCUAGGUUCCUCCAGCUCCCUCUGUCCCUGUUGGAUGAGACACUAGCUAGGUUCCUCCAGCUCCCUCUGUCCCUGUUGGAUGAGACACUAGCUUGGUUCCUCCAGCUCCCUCUGUCCCUGUUGGAUGAGACACUAGCUAGGUUCCUCCAGCUCCCUCUGUCCCUGUUGGAUGAGACACUAGCUAGGUUCCUCCAGCUCCCUCUGUCCCUGUUGGAUGAGACACUAGCUAGGUUCCUCCAGCUCCCUCUGUCCCUGUUGGAUGAGACACUAGCUAGGUUCCUCCAGCUCCCUCUGUCCCUGUUGGAUGAGACACUAGCUAGGUUCCUCCAGCUCCCUCUGUCCCUGUUGGAUGAGACACUAGCUAGGUUCCUCCAGCUCCUGUCCCUGUUGGAUUAGACACUAGCUAGGUUCCUCCAGCUCCUGUCCCUGUUGGAUGAGACACUAGCUAGGUUCCUCCAGCUCCUGUCCCUGUUGGAUGAGACACUAGCUAGGUUCCUCCAGCUCCCUCUGUCCCUGUUGGAUUAGACACUAGCUAGGUUCCUCCAGCUCCCUCUGUCC